Molecule: ribosomal RNA, 458 nt
Filed under: uncultured cyanobacterium
Lineage: Bacteria; Bacillati; Cyanobacteriota
Description: bacterial SSU rRNA
Rfam family: Bacterial small subunit ribosomal RNA
Source: RNAcentral
UUGGGUUAAGUCCCGCAACGAGCGCAACCCUCGUUUCUAGUUGCCUCAUUGAGUUGGGCACUCUGGAGAGACUGCCGGUGACAAACCGGAGGAAGGUGGGGAUGACGUCAAGUCAGCAUGCCCCUUACGUCCUGGGCUACACACGUACUACAAUGCUGUGGACAAAGAGCGGCGAGUCGGCGACGGCAAGCAAAUCUCGGAAACCACGGCUCAGUUCAGAUUGCAGGCUGCAACUCGCCUGCAUGAAGGCGGAAUCGCUAGUAAUCGCAGGUCAGCAUACUGCGGUGAAUACGUUCCCGGGCCUUGUACACACCGCCCGUCACACCAUGGGAGUUGGCCACGCCCGAAGUCGUUACUCCAACCGUUCGCGGAGGAGGACGCCGAAGGCAGGGCUGAUGACUGGGGUGAAGUCGUAACAAGGUAGCCGUACCGGAAGGUGUGGCUGGAUCACCUCCUUU